CAGCUGUGUCCCGGAGCACCCAGUGAACAUGCAUUUAAGGCACACGUAAAUGAACAGAUGGGGUGCAGUGAGGAGCUGGCUGGAGACACCAAGUCAAGGCCCUGGAUUUGGACUGAAGGUGACCCCUGCAGGGGGGCUGGCAUCUGGGACCCAGGAAGCAUCGAUAAAAAUCGGAGCGUUUACGGAUCGGCUCGAAGCCCAUCACUUCGCACAUCGUUCACAUUGCUCCCGCCUCCCCGCCUGUCUCUCCCUGGACAAUAGGUGUCUGCUCCACACCCACUCUCUGCUGCGCGAGAAAGGGCCUGUCUCGUUGUGAAGAGCCCUUCCUUCCGGCUUCCUGGGUUGGAGGUAAACACCCCAGGGAGAAUGCGCCCCUUGUCUGGCCGGCUGCGGACGGUGGGAGAGGCGGGGGCAGC
This 416-nucleotide long non-coding RNA is filed under the name Ursus maritimus (polar bear). Its description in RNAcentral is "lncRNA (ENSUMAG00000014364.1)". Lineage: Eukaryota; Metazoa; Chordata; Mammalia; Carnivora; Ursidae. The record is from RNAcentral.